CCCUUCGGGGUACACGAGAGGCAGACGGCUGAGUAACGCGUGGGAACGCACCCUACACUGAGGGAUAAGAUACCGAAAGGUGUUCUAAUACCGCAUACGGUCUUCGGAUUAAAGUCUUCGGACGGUGAAGGAGCGGCCCGCGUCAUAUUAGGUAGUUGGUGGGGGUAAUGGCCUACCAAGCCGAUGAUGUGUAGCUGGUCUGAGAGGAUGAUCAGCCAGACUGGAACUGAGAACGGUCCAGACUCCUACGGGAGGUAGCAGAC
This 263-nucleotide ribosomal RNA is filed under the name uncultured Rhodocista sp. RNAcentral describes it as "partial 16S ribosomal RNA". It matches the Rfam family "Bacterial small subunit ribosomal RNA", at positions 76 to 354 of the family's 1533-position model. Lineage: Bacteria; Pseudomonadati; Pseudomonadota; Alphaproteobacteria; Rhodospirillales; Azospirillaceae. The record is from RNAcentral.